Molecule: long non-coding RNA, 3185 nt
Filed under: Capsicum annuum
Lineage: Eukaryota; Viridiplantae; Streptophyta; Magnoliopsida; Solanales; Solanaceae
Description: long non-coding RNA (CANN_LNC021330)
Source: RNAcentral
CAAAAACAUAUCACCAGUUUAACAAACAACUAUAAGAACUAUAUUGUGCUUUAUGCCUAAACUGUAGGUGGAUGUUUGUGGCAUAUUGUCCUGGUGUGUCCCUCAAUAUAACAGCUACUGUACGUCAUCUUCGAAGCUCUUACAUUUAUCUUCAUUUGAUGCAUUUCAUCUUUCAGUACAAGGCCUCCCCAGUGGACUUUUAGAAUCUAAUGGCAAUACAAUUUCAUCCAACACUUCACAUGAUACUUUUCGCAUACUUUGACAAGGAAGAAAUUCAAAUGGUAUUGCAUAUAUAUCACAAUAAUUUCUAUUAAUGUAGUAAGGAGAUCAAUAGUUCUCUCCAUGUUGAUUUCUAUACGUGAUAAUAGUCAUGGCAUGACUACAAGGUAUCUCAUCUAAUUGAAAUCAUCCACAACUAUAUUUUCUAUUUUGCAGAUAAGCAAUGAAUCUUUCAGCUCCAUCAAUCAUGGUAUACAAGAAUUCAGUUGAUGCUCUUACCAUCAAUAAACAUAUUUUUCAUACUCAAAACAUAUACUAAUAUUAAUAAUAAAAAGAAUUAAUUUAGAUUAUUUAAAUAAUGUUAUGCCGCGUAAUCAAACAGUUACUGUCAUAGUGUAAUAUAGCUUAUGAUUUUUCUUGAGAAUUUUAUUGUACUUGACCGUUAGUUUUGUGAAUGUGUUAUUUGCUUCUGCGUUCUGUUUUGCAUUUCAUGAUUCAACGUCAACCUCAUAAAAUUCAUUGUUGAAAUUACAGGCAAUCUUCUAGCAAUCUUGUUGGUAUUAUUUAUGAAUUCAACUAUGUUUAACGUCAAUAUUCAAGUUUAUUUGACGGUAGAAUAAACCCUAUCCCAUUUGUGAUAGCCAACUUUAAAAAAAUAUCUCCGCACUCUGUUAUCUAUUUGAUCCACCCUCUCCAUUAAUUCUUUAAAUUGUUGGAGAGUGUACGUCUUUGUCAUGACAAAAAAAAGUUUAUAUAGUUCCUCAAUAUUCUUGCGGAGAUUUUUCUUUAUAUUGCCCCACAAAUGUCAAAUGUAUUCAUGAAGUGAAAGGUUGUGAUAUGCUAUUGAAGUUGCUUUUCAUAUGCUAUCGGUUUUAUUUGAUACGAUACACAUAUCCUCUCUUUCACCAAAUGCUUUUCAAAAAUUUUCAAAAAGAUCAUGUUCAAAAUGCAAUUCUCAAAAUCAACCACGACAUAAGCAAAUGACAGUAUAUGACCUAAUUAUAUUUCGUAAUUAUAUGCAAGAUAAGAGUUGGUUAUUUACUUAAUUUAAAUUAACGAAUAAAAAUAAAAAUAAAAAACAUACCAGAUUCACCAGAUUCAUACCAACAUCAGUAACAUAUUUAUAAAUACAAUUUUUUUUAAAAUAAAAUAAAGAAUUUACCUCCUGAGUCCAAUGUACUUGCAAUCAACAUAGUCCCACAGUAUAAUAAUUUUAGAAUAGCCCCGUCUAAAACAAUCAUUGGUCUGCAAUAUUUCUAACCCCGAAUAGAAGCAUUCAAUGCAAAAAGAAGCAUAUAAGAAUUGAUUUUCCUCUGUUUUAUGUCAUCUAAGGAUAGAUCGAGGAUAAUUUUUGUCCAAAAUAUACAAGUAACGUGGAAUUUUUUGUUAUGAUUUUGUAGGAUCACCACACAACAUCUUAACUAUCUUUUUCUUUGCAUGUAAUGCUUGGUUAUAGUUAAAUAACACCCCGUAUUGUUUCAACAUGUCUGUAACAAUAUCAUUUGGGGUGUACAAUCUUUUUGUGUCUACAAAAUUGCUCAAUACUAAUUCUGCGACAACCCUUGUCAUUCCUUGACAUCUUGCAUAUAUUUGAUUCUUUAUUGAGCAUGUGUAUAUUUCAUAAUACUUUCUGAUCUUGAAAACUUCAGAUCCGUUCAUACUCGAUGACCGAAGAAAUCAUGUAUAAUCUUUCAUCAGGCAAACAAGGUAAUAGCUAUUUAAGAUGUAGUACAAACAACAAAUCAACAAACAUAUCAAAUUAAUACAUCAAAUCAUAUAGAUUUAUUUUUCAAGAAGAAUGAAAUACAAAAUUUAUUAUUUGCCAUCACUAGAUUGUUUGACGUGAAACGAGAUUUGAUCCACAAUCGUGUAAAGUUUCAUAACAUUUGCAAGAGUCUCCUUAUUCUUGUAAACUUGUUUAACAACUAUUUUUGUAUUUAUUGGAUCACUUAUUAUUUCAACUCAUUCUUAAUCAAAUAUUUCUUCCUCCGAACUUAAUCCAAUUAAAUGAAUUGAAUCAUUUGUGUAUAGAUGUUGCUGCUCCACAUUUACUUUAUUACAACUUUGAUUCUGACCACAAACAAUAGAUUGUUCAGUACAUUCUAUUGAAUUCAUCACUAUAUCCUUGUAAGUGAUAUACAAUCGAUAUUUAAAGAAGAAUUCUGAAAUGAUUAUUUUUUGAUCCAAAUGUACUUUAACUCCCAUAUCAUUGUGUAUGAUCACUAGUGGGCAUUUAUCACUAACUAUGUAUCUAAUUUCAAUUUGUACAUAAUUAAUGUCUAUCUUUAGUUGUGUUGCGAUCGUCUUUAUCAAUCCAUUAUAUUUUGUGUUUGAAUCAUACAUAAUUCCGUCAACACCAAAAUAUUUAGGCUUCUUGUUGUAAGGUAUACACAAUUGUUGAAUUAUUAGUUUUCAGUAAAAUUUGACACAAAAAUUUCAAAAAUUAAACACAAUUAAAAAAAUUAUAAACUCAAAAAUAACUAAGAAAAAAUAAUUAACUUAAAAUAUUAUACAAUUAUCUAUCAGAAUUUAUACCAACAUUAUUAAAUUGUCAACAUAUAUAAAAUAGAUUUAUAAUUUCUUUUAUUUUUAUUCAUUUUGAUCACAGUUAACAUAAAUUUCUUAUAUGUUUUCUAAUAAAAAAUCACAAAAAUAUAAUUUUUUUAAGAUUAAUUACCUGUUGGUCCCAUCUUCCUCCAUGUGUAUCAUGGUUCGAUGUAAACAAGCAUCAUCCAUAUUGCAUUAAUCUCUAUUGUAUUUGUAUUUUUUUAAAUUCGAUUUGUUUCAAUUAAAAUACAGAAAUAUGUAUUUCAAUUGAAAUCUUCGGCGUUGAAAGAAAAAGAAUUUCUGAAAUUAUGAGUUUCAAUCAAUAUAUAUUUUCUGUAUUGUUGAAGGAAGAAGAUGAAGUAUAGAAUUUCUGUAUGUUCUCUGAAUUGUUGAAGGAAGAAGAUGAAGUAUAAAACGGC